AUGGCUCAGAUUGAACGCUGGCGGCAGGCUUAACACAUGCAAGUCGAGCGGUAACGGGGGGUAGCUUGCUACUCUGCCGACGAGCGGCGGACGGG
This 95-nucleotide ribosomal RNA is filed under the name Pasteurella testudinis DSM 23072. Its description in RNAcentral is "16S rRNA. Bacterial SSU". The record is from RNAcentral. Lineage: Bacteria; Pseudomonadati; Pseudomonadota; Gammaproteobacteria; Pasteurellales; Pasteurellaceae.